UGGGGAAUUUUGGACAAUGGGCGAAAGCCUGAUCCAGCAAUGCCGCGUGUGUGAAGAAGGCCUUCGGGUUGUAAAGCACUUUUGUCCGGAAAGAAAUCCUUGGCUCUAAUACAGUCGGGGGAUGACGGUACCGGAAGAAUAAGCACCGGCUAACUACGUGCCAGCAGCCGCGGUAAUACGUAGGGUGCAAGCGUUAAUCGGAAUUACUGGGCGUAAAGCGUGCGCAGGCGGUUUGCUAAGACCGAUGUGAAAUCCCCGGGCUCAACCUGGGAACUGCAUUGGUGACUGGCAGGCUAGAGUAUGGCAGAGGGGGGUAGAAUUCCACGUGUAGCAGUGAAAUGCGUAGAGAUGUGGAGGAAUACCGAUGGCGAAGGCAGCCCCCUGGGCCAAAUACUGACGCUCAUGCACGAAAGCGUGGGGAGCAAACAGGAUUAGAUACCCUGGUAGUCCACGCCCUAAAACGAUGUCAACUAGUUGUUGGGGAUUCAUUUCCUUAGUAACGUAGCUAACGCGUGAAGUUGACCGCCUGGGGAGUACGGUCGCAAGAUUAAAACUUAAAGGAAUUGACGGGGUCAUAGCUGUUUCCU
This 587-nucleotide ribosomal RNA is filed under the name uncultured bacterium. RNAcentral describes it as "partial 16S ribosomal RNA". It matches the Rfam family "Bacterial small subunit ribosomal RNA", at positions 355 to 1375 of the family's 1533-position model. The record is from RNAcentral.